This 72-nucleotide transfer RNA is filed under the name Patescibacteria group bacterium. Its description in RNAcentral is "tRNA-Arg". It matches the Rfam family "tRNA". From Rfam's summary of the family: Transfer RNA (tRNA) molecules are approximately 80 nucleotides in length. Their secondary structure includes four short double-helical elements and three loops (D, anti-codon, and T loops). Further hydrogen bonds mediate the characteristic L-shaped molecular structure. tRNAs have two regions of fundamental functional importance: the anti-codon, which is responsible for specific mRNA codon recognition, and the 3' end, to which the tRNAs corresponding amino acid is attached (by aminoacyl-tRNA synthetases). tRNAs cope with the degeneracy of the genetic code in two manners: having more than one tRNA (with a specific anti-codon) for a particular amino acid; and 'wobble' base-pairing, i.e. permitting non-standard base-pairing at the 3rd anti-codon position. The record is from RNAcentral.
GUCCGCAUAGUUUAAUGGAUAAAACAAAAACCUCCUAAGUUUUAGAUCCAGGUUCGAUUCCCGGUGUGGACA